This 340-nucleotide long non-coding RNA is filed under the name Homo sapiens (human). RNAcentral describes it as "non-protein coding lnc-MAX-10:1". The record is from RNAcentral. Lineage: Eukaryota; Metazoa; Chordata; Mammalia; Primates; Hominidae.
UGGUGGUGUCCUGUACUUUCCUGGGGUGAUAGUAGUAAAAGUGGGUGUGGUUUGCCUCCUUUAAAUACAUCAUCUAGUCUAGAGAUGUGGAAAUUUCCUCAAACUGAUAUGUAGUAAUAUAAUAACCCUUUUAGAAAACCUGAAUUACUUCAUUGAAAAAAGUCAAUUUAUGUAUAUCUAGUAGCUGCAUUUUUUGAAAACUAGACAACAUGCACAUGAUAAAAAAUUCAAAAGUUAUGUAAAAAGGCAUAAAAGGAAAAGUGAACCUCUCUUCUACACUAUCCCCUAGUCCCCCUUCCCUGAAGCACCAGUGUCACCAAUUUGUUUAUCCUUCUAGAUG